This 378-nucleotide ribosomal RNA is filed under the name uncultured eukaryote. RNAcentral's name for it is "partial 18S ribosomal RNA". It matches the Rfam family "Eukaryotic small subunit ribosomal RNA", at positions 592 to 976 of the family's 1831-position model. The record is from RNAcentral.
CAAUAGCGUAUAUUAAAGUUGUUGCAGUUAAAAAGCUCGUAGUUGGAUUUCGGAAUGGGCCCGUCGGUCCGCCGCAAGGUGAGUCGCUGACUGGUUUGUUCUUCUUCGCAAAGACUGCGUGUGCUCUUCGCUGAGUGUGCGUAGGAUUUACGACGUUUACUUUGAAAAAAUUAGAGUGUUCAAAGCAGGCUUUAGCUUGAAUACAUGAGCAUGGAAUAAUGGAAUAGGACUUUGGUUCUAUUUUGUUGGUUUCUAGGACCGAAGUAAUGAUUAAGAGGGACAAUUGGGGGCAUCCGUAUUUCGUUGUCAGAGGUGAAAUUCUUGGAUUUACGAAAGACGAACAACUGCGAAAGCACUUGCCAAGAGUGUUUUCAUUAA